CACCAGCCCCUCGAGUGGUGGGGAUGAUUAUUUGGCCUAAAGCGUCCGUAGCCGGCCGGGUAAGUUUCCCGUUAAAUCCAGCGUCUCAGGCGUUGGACUGCGGGAAAUACUGCCUGGCUAGAGAGUGGGAGAGGUCAGCGGUAUUCUGGGGGUAGGGGCGAAAUCCUUUGAUCCCCGGAGGACCACCAGUGGCGAAGGCUGCUGACUAGAACACGUCUGACGGUCAGGGACGAAAGCUGGGGUAGCGAACCGGAUUAGAUACCCGGGUAGUCCCAGCCGUAAACGAUGCAUGCUAGGUGUUGGGUUGGCCACGAGCCGCCCCAGUGCCGCAGGGAAGCCGUUAAGCAUGCCGCCUGGGAAGUACGAUCACAAGAUUGAAACUUAAAGGAAUUGGCGGGGGAGCACCACCAGGCGUGAAGCCUGCGGUUU
This 429-nucleotide ribosomal RNA is filed under the name uncultured archaeon. RNAcentral's name for it is "bacterial SSU rRNA". It matches the Rfam family "Archaeal small subunit ribosomal RNA", at positions 474 to 903 of the family's 1478-position model. The record is from RNAcentral.